This 449-nucleotide ribosomal RNA is filed under the name uncultured bacterium. RNAcentral's name for it is "partial 16S ribosomal RNA". It matches the Rfam family "Bacterial small subunit ribosomal RNA", at positions 354 to 796 of the family's 1533-position model. The record is from RNAcentral.
GUCGAGAAUCUUUCACAAUGGGGGCAACCCUGAUGGAGCGACGCCGCGUGGAGGAUAAGGUCUUCGGAUUGUAAACUCCUGUCAUGCGUGAACAAGGUUGCUUGGUUAAUACCUGGGCAAAUUGAUGGUAACGCAAGAGGAAGAGACGGCUAACUCUGUGCCAGCAGCCGCGGUAAUACAGAGGUCUCAAGCGUUGUUCGGAAUCACUGGGCGUAAAGGGUGCGUAGGUGGCGUGGUAAGUCAGAUGUGAAAGCCCGGGGCUCAACCUCGGAACUGCAUCCGAUACUGCCAUGCUAGAGUACUGGAGAGGUGGCUAGAAUUCUCGGUGUAGCAGUGAAAUGCGUAGAUAUCCAGAGGAAUACCAAAGGCGUAGGCAGGUCACUGGACAGUUACUGACACUGAGGCACGAAGGCCAGGGGAGCGAACGGGAUUAGAUACCCUGGUAGUCC